This 940-nucleotide ribosomal RNA is filed under the name Klebsiella pneumoniae. RNAcentral's name for it is "partial 23S ribosomal RNA". It matches the Rfam family "Bacterial large subunit ribosomal RNA", at positions 419 to 1361 of the family's 2925-position model. Lineage: Bacteria; Pseudomonadati; Pseudomonadota; Gammaproteobacteria; Enterobacterales; Enterobacteriaceae. The record is from RNAcentral.
GGGACACGUGGUAUCCUGUCUGAAUAUGGGGGGACCAUCCUCCAAGGCUAAAUACUCCUGACUGACCGAUAGUGAACCAGUACCGUGAGGGAAAGGCGAAAAGAACCCCGGCGAGGGGAGUGAAAAAGAACCUGAAACCGUGUACGUACAAGCAGUGGGAGCACCUUCGGGUGUGACUGCGUACCUUUUGUAUAAUGGGUCAGCGACUUAUAUUCUGUAGCAAGGUUAACCGUAUAGGGGAGCCGCAGGGAAACCGAGUCUUAACUGGGCGUUAAGUUGCAGGGUAUAGACCCGAAACCCGGUGAUCUAGCCAUGGGCAGGUUGAAGGUUGGGUAACACUAACUGGAGGACCGAACCGACUAAUGUUGAAAAAUUAGCGGAUGACUUGUGGCUGGGGGUGAAAGGCCAAUCAAACCGGGAGAUAGCUGGUUCUCCCCGAAAGCUAUUUAGGUAGCGCCUCGUGAAUUCAUCUUCGGGGGUAGAGCACUGUUUCGGCUAGGGGGUCAUCCCGACUUACCAACCCGAUGCAAACUACGAAUACCGAAGAAUGUUAUCACGGGAGACACACGGCGGGUGCUAACGUCCGUCGUGAAGAGGGAAACAACCCAGACCGCCAGCUAAGGUCCCAAAGUCAUGGUUAAGUGGGAAACGAUGUGGGAAGGCACAGACAGCCAGGAUGUUGGCUUAGAAGCAGCCAUCAUUUAAAGAAAGCGUAAUAGCUCACUGGUCGAGUCGGCCUGCGCGGAAGAUGUAACGGGGCUAAACCAUGCACCGAAGCUGCGGCAGCGACACUAUGUGUUGUUGGGUAGGGGAGCGUUCUGUAAGCCUGCGAAGGUGUGCUGUGAGGCAUGCUGGAGGUAUCAGAAGUGCGAAUGCUGACAUAAGUAACGAUAAAGCGGGUGAAAAGCCCGCUCGCCGGAAGACCAAGGGUUCCUGUCCA